GACGAACGCUGGCGGCGUGCUUAACACAUGCAAGUCGAACGGAAAGGCCCUGCUUUUGUGGGGUGCUCGAGUGGCGAACGGGUGAGUAACCCGUGAGUAACCUGCCCUUGACUUUGGGAUAACUUCAGGAAACUGGGGCUAAUACCGGAUAGGAGCUCCUGCUGCAUGGUGGGGGUUGGAAAGUUUAGGCGGUUGGGGAUGGACUCGCGGCUUAUCAGCUUGUUGGUGGGGGAGUGGCUUACCAAGGCUUGGACGGGUAGCCGGCCUGAGAGGGUGACCGGCGACAUGGGGACUGAGAGACGGACCAGACUCCUACGGGAGGCAGCAGUGGGGAGUAUUGCACAAUGGGCGGAAGCCUGAUACAACAGCGCCGCGUGCGGGAUGACGGCCUUCGGGUUGGAAACCGCUUUAGCCUGUGACGAAGCGUGAGUGACGGUAAUGGGUAAAGAAGCACCGGCUAACUACGUG
RNAcentral lists this ribosomal RNA (468 nucleotides) under uncultured bacterium. RNAcentral's name for it is "partial 16S ribosomal RNA". It matches the Rfam family "Bacterial small subunit ribosomal RNA", at positions 28 to 507 of the family's 1533-position model. The record is from RNAcentral.